GAUUAUUUCAAUCGCUCACACGCUAUGGCACAGCACUCAUAAUGCUGGGGUCGGUGGUUCAAAUCCACCUAUCACCACCA
RNAcentral lists this transfer RNA (80 nucleotides) under Herminiimonas fonticola. RNAcentral's name for it is "tRNA-Met". It matches the Rfam family "tRNA", at positions 17 to 71 of the family's 71-position model. From Rfam's summary of the family: Transfer RNA (tRNA) molecules are approximately 80 nucleotides in length. The record is from RNAcentral. Lineage: Bacteria; Pseudomonadati; Pseudomonadota; Betaproteobacteria; Burkholderiales; Oxalobacteraceae.